AACGCUGGCGGUGUGCCUAAUACAUGCAAGUCGAACGCGUUGGCCCAAUUGAUUGAUGGUGCUUGCACCUGAUUGAUUUUGGUCGCCAACGAGUGGCGGACGGGUGAGUAACACGUAGGUAACCUGCCCAGAAGCGGGGGACAACAUUUGGAAACAGAUGCUAAUACCGCAUAACAACGUUGUUCGCAUGAACAACGCUUAAAAGAUGGCUUCUCGCUAUCACUUCUGGAUGGACCUGCGGUGCAUUAGCUUGUUGGUGGGGUAACGGCCUACCAAGGCGAUGAUGCAUAGCCGAGUUGAGAGACUGAUCGGCCACAAUGGGACUGAGACACGGCCCAUACUCCUACGGGAGGCAGCAGUAGGGAAUCUUCCACAAUGGGCGCAAGCCUGAUGGAGCAACACCGCGUGAGUGAAGAAGGGUUUCGGCUCGUAAAGCUCUGUUGUUAAAGAAGAACACGUAUGAGAGUAACUGUUCAUACGUUGACGGUAUUUAACCAGAAAGUCACGGCUAACUA
RNAcentral lists this ribosomal RNA (515 nucleotides) under Limosilactobacillus fermentum. RNAcentral describes it as "bacterial SSU rRNA". It matches the Rfam family "Bacterial small subunit ribosomal RNA", at positions 32 to 503 of the family's 1533-position model. The record is from RNAcentral. Lineage: Bacteria; Bacillati; Bacillota; Bacilli; Lactobacillales; Lactobacillaceae.